UACGGGGGGGGCAAGCGUUGUUCGGAAUUACUGGGCGUAAAGGGCUCGUAGGUGGCCAACUAAGUCAUGCGUGAAAUCCCUCGGCUUAACCGGGGAACUGCGCCUGAUACUGGUUGGCUUGAGUUUGGGAGAGGGACGCGGAAUUCCAGGUGUAGCGGUGAAAUGCGUAGAUAUCUGGAGGAAUACCGGUGGCGAAGGCGGCAUCCUGGACCGGCAUUGACGCUGAGGAGCGAAAGCCAGGGGAGCAAACGGG
This 253-nucleotide ribosomal RNA is filed under the name uncultured bacterium. RNAcentral's name for it is "partial 16S ribosomal RNA". It matches the Rfam family "Bacterial small subunit ribosomal RNA", at positions 524 to 776 of the family's 1533-position model. The record is from RNAcentral.